RNAcentral lists this unclassified non-coding RNA (227 nucleotides) under Hevea brasiliensis (rubber tree). The record is from RNAcentral. Lineage: Eukaryota; Viridiplantae; Streptophyta; Magnoliopsida; Malpighiales; Euphorbiaceae.
GAGGGUGUCCAUCCACUGCCUCGGAUGCAAGAAGAAGGUCAGGAAGGUGCUCAGGAGCAUCGAAGGCGUGAAGGAUGUGAAGGUGGACGCCGCGAUGCACAAGGUGACGGUGACCGGCACGGUGGACGGCGACACGCUCGUCAAGAGGCUGUACAAGUCCGGGAAGCAGGCCGUGCCGUGGCAGCACCCGCACGUGGCGCCGGCGCCGGAGGCGGUCAAGGCGAUAG